AACGCACGAGACCUGCGGACCUGCGGAGGGAUCAUUAAUGAACAUAAAUUUGAGCAAGGUUGAUGCUGGCUUCCAGGAAGGCAUGUGCACACCUUGCCUCAAUUUUCAACCAAAUGUGCACCUCGCAUGAAUCUGAAAUACUCUCAGUGUCGUUGCUCUUGAUGAAGAAAGGAUGGAAUUUUCCAGUUCGAGUGCAUGUGUUCGAUUCAACCUCAGAGAAGCGCCGGCUUUGGCACAGAC
RNAcentral lists this unclassified non-coding RNA (240 nucleotides) under soil metagenome. Its description in RNAcentral is "partial contains 5.8S ribosomal RNA, internal transcribed spacer 2, and large subunit ribosomal RNA". The record is from RNAcentral.